UACGUAGGGGGCAAGCGUUGUCCGGAAUCAUUGGGCGUAAAGCGCGUGUAGGCGGUUUCGUAAGUCUGCUGUGAGAGUCGGAGGCUCAACCUUCGAAAGCCGGUGGAUACUGUGAGACUUGAGCACGGAAGAGGAGAGUGGAAUUCCUGGUGUAGCGGUGAAAUGCGCAGAUAUCAGGAGGAACACCAACGGCGAAGGCAGCUCUCUGGGACGUUACUGACGCUGAGACGCGAAAGCGUGGGGAGCAAACAGG
Molecule: ribosomal RNA, 253 nt
Filed under: uncultured bacterium
Lineage: Bacteria
Description: partial 16S ribosomal RNA
Rfam family: Bacterial small subunit ribosomal RNA
Source: RNAcentral